Molecule: ribosomal RNA, 253 nt
Filed under: uncultured bacterium
Lineage: Bacteria
Description: partial 16S ribosomal RNA
Rfam family: Bacterial small subunit ribosomal RNA
Source: RNAcentral
UACGGGGGGGGCAAGCGUUGUUCGGAAUUACUGGGCGUAAAGGGCUCGUAGGCGGCCAACUAAGUCCGACGUGAAAUCCCCAGGCUUAACCUGGGAACUGCGUCGGAUACUGGAUGGCUUGAAUCCGGGAGAGGGAUGCGGAAUUCCAGGUGUAGCGGUGAAAUGCGUAGAUAUCUGGAGGAACACCGGUGGCGAAGGCGGCAUCCUGGACCGGUACUGACGCUGAGGCGCGAAAGCGUGGGGAGCAAACGGG